UACGUAGGGUGCGAGCGUUACUCGGAAUUACUGGGCGUAAAGAGUGCGUAGGCGGUUCUUGAAGUCCGCUGUGAAAGCCCCGGGCUUAACCUGGGAAUGGCAGUGGAAACUGGGGGACUUGAAUUGAGCAGAGGGGGGUGGAAUGCCGCGUGUAGCAGUGAAAUGCGUAGAGAUGCGGCGGAACACCGAUGGCGAAGGCAGCCCCCUGGGCUUAAAUUGACGCUGAGGCACGAAAGCGUGGGGAGCAAACAGG
RNAcentral lists this ribosomal RNA (253 nucleotides) under uncultured bacterium. RNAcentral describes it as "partial 16S ribosomal RNA". It matches the Rfam family "Bacterial small subunit ribosomal RNA", at positions 524 to 776 of the family's 1533-position model. The record is from RNAcentral.